This 300-nucleotide ribosomal RNA is filed under the name uncultured Ignisphaera sp. RNAcentral describes it as "bacterial SSU rRNA". It matches the Rfam family "Bacterial small subunit ribosomal RNA", at positions 496 to 795 of the family's 1533-position model. Lineage: Archaea; Thermoproteati; Thermoproteota; Thermoprotei; Desulfurococcales; Desulfurococcaceae. The record is from RNAcentral.
GUUACAGCCGUGCAGGCAUCCGCGGUAAGACGGAGGGUGUUGGCGUGGUUCGGAAGUACUGGGCGUAAAGCGCACGUAGGCGGCUUUGCAAGUUAGAGGGGAAAGCCCGGGGCUCAACUCCGGAAUUGCCUUUAAAACUGCAUCGCUAGAGUUGUGGAGAGGUAAGUGGAAUUCCGAGUGUAGAGGUGAAAUUCGUAGAUAUUCGGAAGAACACCAGUGGCGAAGGCGACUUACUGGACACAUACUGACGCUGAGGUGCGAAAGCGUGGGGAGCAAACAGGAUUAGAUACCCGGGUAGUC